UUGAUUUUAUGCUUGCAUAAAUGAUUUUUGGAUUCGGAGCGAGUGGCGAACUGGUGAGUAACACGUGGGUAACCUGCCCCGAAGCGGGGGAUAACAUUUGGAAACAAGUGCUAAUACCGCAUAAUUAGUUGGAACCGCAUGGUUCCAACUUGAAAGAUGGCUCUGCUAUCACUUUGGGAUGGACCCGCGCCGUAUUAGUUAGUUGGUGAGAUAAAAGCCCACCAAGACGAUGAUACGUAGCCGACCUGAGAGGGUAAUCGGCCACAUUGGGACUGAGACACGGCCCAGACUCCUACGGGAGGCAGCAGUAGGGAAUCUUCCACAAUGGACGAAAGUCUGAUGGAGCAACGCCGCGUGAGUGAUGAAGGUUUUCGGAUCGUAAAACUCUGUUGUUAAAGAAGAACAAGUGUUAGAGUAACUGUUAACACUUUGACGGUAUUUAACCAGAAAGCCACGGCUAACUACGUGCCAGCAGCCGCGGUAAUACGUAGGUGGCAAGCGUUGUCCGGAUUUAUUGGGCGUAAAGCGAGCGCAGGCGGUUUUGUAAGUCUGCUGUGAAAGCCCUCAGCUCAACUGAGGAAGUGCAGUGGAAACUACAAAACUUGAGUACAGAAGAGGAAAGUGGAACUCCAUGUGUAGCGGUGAAAUGCGUAGAUAUAUGGAAGAACACCAGUGGCGAAGGCGGCUUUCUGGUCUGUUACUGACGCUGAGGCUCGAAAGCAUGGGUAGCGAACAGGAUUAGAUACCCUGGUAGUCCAUGCCGUAAACGAUGAAUACUAGGUGUUGGAGGGUUUCCGCCUUCAGUGCCGCAGCUAACGCAUUAAGUAUUCCGCCUGGGGAGUACGACCGCAAGGUUGAAACUCAAAGGAAUUGACGGGGGCCCGCACAAGUGGUGGAGCAUGUGGUUUAAUUCGAUGCUACGCGAAGAACCUUACCAGCUCUUGACAUCUUCUGCCAACCCAAGAGAUUGGGCGUUCCCUUCGGGGACAGAAUGACAGGUGGUGCAUGGUUGUCGUCAGCUCGUGUCGUGAGAUGUUGGGUUAAGUCCCGCAACGAGCGCAACCCUUAUUAUUAGUUGCCAGCAUUUAGUUGGGCACUCUAGUGAGACUGCCGGUGAUAAACCGGAGGAAGGUGGGGACGACGUCAAAUCAUCAUGCCCCUUAUGAGCUGGGCUACACACGUGCUACAAUGGAUGGUACAACGAGUCGCGAAACCGCGAGGUCAAGCUAAUCUCUUAAAGCCAUUCUCAGUUCGGAUUGCAGGCUGCAACUCGCCUGCAUGAAGUUGGAAUCACUAGUAAUCGUGGAUCAGCAUGCCACGGUGAAUACGUUCCCGGGCCUUGUACACACCGCCCGUC
Molecule: ribosomal RNA, 1357 nt
Filed under: Apilactobacillus kunkeei
Lineage: Bacteria; Bacillati; Bacillota; Bacilli; Lactobacillales; Lactobacillaceae
Description: bacterial SSU rRNA
Rfam family: Bacterial small subunit ribosomal RNA
Source: RNAcentral